This 5808-nucleotide long non-coding RNA is filed under the name Gossypium barbadense (sea-island cotton). Its description in RNAcentral is "long non-coding RNA (GBAR_LNC011338)". Lineage: Eukaryota; Viridiplantae; Streptophyta; Magnoliopsida; Malvales; Malvaceae. The record is from RNAcentral.
ACCGUUUCAAAUUCAACACAAAAUCAAGCUAAAAAGAACCUAAAGUCAAACACUCAGUUACUUUAACAAAAUCAAAAGAAAGAAAAAAACCAAAACCUAUCCUUAUUCAUUCGGCUAAACCAGAGGCAUCACUCAACCACCCCUUCGCCUCCAUAUCAUCAAAUCAAAUCCCCUAAUUCUCAUCAAAGCUUUGAUUUCAAUGAAGCAAACAAGGAUUCAAAGGCUCCUUCAACAACAGAUAAGUCUCCCUUUCCCCUUAUAGAUUUAUUUUUUCAUGCAAUAGAUAAAGAAUGAUGAAAUAGAAACGAAAAUCAAGGAAGAACACGAUCUAAAAUCACCGUAAAACUAAUUUCAAAUUGAUUUUUUUCAGUAUCCGUGUGUAUUUCUGUGGGGAAAAAAUGAUCCCCAUUUACAUCAUUUUUCUAGCUUUUAUAGCCGAUUUACAUCAUAAAUAAAAUAAAAAUUGUAUUUUCUUGCUGUCAUUUACUGGCCUAUUUUUCUGUUAUUAUUUCCGUUGCUCUUCUCGUACGUUCCAUUGGAGAUGGCCAUUCAAAAGGAGCAUUCAUGAGUGUGGGCAUGGGAAGCCACUCGUGGAAGUGGCUGGCUUGUGGCAUUAGCAGAUUCCAGAAACCUCUAGGGUUUCUGGUAUUUCCGAACUCUUGGGCCCCUUUGGGCCAUUUGUAAAUUGGCUUUGGACUAGUGUUUCAUUUCUGUUUUGGGAUAUAUUUUGCUAUUGGGCUUGAAGGGAUUUAUUGCUGGGCUAAUAAAUGUAAAUGAACAUUGGACCUUAUUUUAUUUUUAUUUUGUUUAUUUUUUUUAAUUUCUGGUUUUUGGAUUUUAACAAACCCGGGCGAAAUGUGCCUAUUACAAUAGUCAUUAAAUUAUUCAUAUCCAGAGCUACAGAUCUCCAAACUAAGAUUCGUUAAUUUCCCAUAAAUUAUACUCAUACCUAUUCUUGUAAAAAAAAAUUUAGAAUUUUUGGUCUAGCCAAUAAGUACAGUUUAUUAUUCAAAGUCUCCCCUGUCUCGUUGUUUGAUAGCUUCGACCUUUCUUCACUAAAAUUUAUUUAUCUCAUAGUACGAGACUCGAAUAAUGUUCUCGUCCCUUUCUCCUGAAAGUAGGAUCAUUAAGGAUUUCAUUCAUAUAAAUUUUAACUCAUAAUUAUUUUUUUACAAUUUCUAGUGACUUUCCAAAGUUAAGACAGGGGAAUUUGGAAUCACUCUGUCUCUAUCUCACAAGAAUUCAAAUAUCUCAUGAUACAGGAUUCUUUUGCUUUCACCAUUUCCUUUAUAUGGAGCUAGACUCAUUAAUCUUUAAUUUCACAUUUUAUUGAGCUUCUAACUCAAUUUCUACUAUUUUUAGUGGAUUUUCAAAGUUGGACCAAUGCUGCUGUCCAAAUCUGUUUUGGUACAAUAUAAUGAUCACUAUCAUAAGAUCAUUUCCAACUAUCAUGAACUUACCCUUUCAUGGAUCCCUUACUCAUUUUUUUCACAAUGGAGCUCAAUAUAAAAGUUAUUAUUUCUCAUGGGAACAUUUAGUCAUACAUUCCAAGUAUAGGAUAAUUCCCUAUCACAUGCACUCAAUCAUCAAAUUAGUCUCAUAACCAUGCACCAUGUAAAUUUGUCUUAGAAGAGCUCCUCAUUUAUAAUUUCAUUGACAUACAUCAUAUUAAUCCCGUUGAGUUUCUCAAAAAUUCUAAUGGAUUAUCCAUUUACCGUCAAUUCAUAAUAAUGAUUAUUUCAUGUAUGCACUCCCGUGAACCUCACAUCUUAUGGCGGAAUUACCAGUCUAGGCUAAAUCCCCUAUAUCGUAAACUCAUAAGGUGAUGUCAGGAUUACCAGUCCAGGCUAAAUCCCUUAUUGUGACAAACACCCUUACUGAGUUCGGAUCUGAAUUGUCAGUCCAGGCUAAAUUCAGACCCUAAUCGAAUUACCCGUUUGAGCUAAAUCCAAUGCACAUAUAUUCUUCAGGAGGCUCGAUCAUCCAAAGGAACACCUGUCCAGGCUAGAUCCUUUUCAUAGUUAAGAUCAACGGAUUACCCGUCCGGGCUAAAUCCUUUCUGCAACACAUGUAGGAUAUCAAUUCGCUUGUAAAUAAUGAUUUAUCCAUCGAAUUCCCUUUUUAACCUCAACCGAGACAUUUUUCGACAAAUCAUUUUCAAAGAUGCAUUUCAUGUAAUUUCAUGCCAUCAAUAAAUGCACUUAUCAUCCACUCAUAAAUCAUACAAUUAAGCAUGUUAGGAGUUUACUUUAAGCUAUCCGAACUUACUUGUCGAAAUCUCAUCAAGUACAACUGUGUAGCAAUUCAUACAACCCAGGUAAUAGUAAUUUAACACUCAAUUCAUGUAACAAUAAUUUUUCAUUCAAUUUCACAUGACACAAGAAGCAUUACAUUUUUCCAUAUCAUACACACCAUCCAUCAACUUCUCUUAAACAUAUUAAAUCAUACAAUUUAUGCCAUAUCAAUAGAUAAUUACAAUUCAUGCAUGGUAUUGCAUUAUUAUUAACACACGAACUUACCUCGAUCUACAAACGGUAAUUUACCAUUUUAGUCCAUAACCUUAAAUUUUCCCGAUUUAAGCUCGAAUCUCGAUUUUGUUGAUCUAUAAUACCAUAUUUAGCCUAAUAAUUAGUCACAUUAUUCAUAAAGGUCCAAAAAUCAUAUUUUUACAAAUUUUCAUUUGACCCCUAAACUUUUGCAUAUUUGCACUUUUUCCCCAAGGCUCGGAAAUUAAAAUUCAUCCUAUUUUCUUAUGUUCUAUGACAUGCUGGCUAUUUUUUCCCUUCUAUGGAAACAUCAAAUUCUCACUCUAACAUGUACUUAUGAACAUUAGGUAUUUUUACCGAUUAUGUCAUUUUAUUCGUUUUCACGUAAAAUCGCUUAGCAAAAGUUGUUUAACACAAUUUCAAGCUUCAUAUUCUAACAUUAAACAUAAAAAUACAUGCAUAUCAUUCAUGGGUAAAUUUUUAAACACAAACCCUAGCUCAAAUAAAUGGUAGAAAUAGCUAGAACAUGUUACCGGGACUUCAAAAAUGUAAAGAACAUUAAAAACGGGGCUUGAGAUCACUUACAAAUGAGCUUGGAAAGCUUGAAAACCAUAUCCAUGGUGUUUUUCAUGAUACAUUCGGCCAUGAGGAAGAAGAUGAGCAAAUUUGGCUUAUUUUGGCAUUUUAAUUCAUUUAAUUACCAAUUUACUAAAAUGCCCUUAAUGAAAAACUUUUAAAAACCUAUCAUACCAUGUCCAUUUUUGUCCACAAACUUCAAAAUGGUCUAAUUACCAUUUUAGGACCUUAAUUUAAAAAAUCAUAACAAUUAGACACUUCUAAUAUGUAGAACUCAACUUUUGCACUUUUUACAAUUUAGUCCUUUUGACCAAAUUGAGUGCCCAAACGUCGAAAUUUUUGAACGAAAUUUCACGAAAUCAUUUUGUGAAAUCGUAGACCAUAAAAAUAUAAUAAAGAUAAAAUUUUCCUCAUCAGAUUUGUGGUCCCGAAACCACUGUUCCGACUAGGCCCAAAAUCAAGAUGUUACAGAUUUCUAGAAAAUGACUUACUUUUUUGGAAAAACUAAUAUUUUCUGCUGUUUGGUUGAAUCUGUGUAAAAUAUUUUCUGUUGUUUGGUAGAUUCCCUGAAAAUAUUUCAAAAAAGAUAUUUUAAACGAAACAAACAUACAUUUGAAUUUUUCUUGUCUUUUAAUUGGUUAGCUAAAUUCACUUUCUUGAAAAUAUUUCAAAAAAGCUAUUUUAAAUGAAACAAACAUAUAUUUAAAUUUUUUUUUCAUUUAAUUGUUUAGCUUUAAUAGCCCGAUUUAGACCCUAGUCAAAAUAGUGGUUUCGAAACCACAAAUCUAAGUUAGAAAAAUAUUUUAUAUUAUUUUCCGUGCCUAUUAUAUGUGAAUUGAUAUCUGUGAAAAUUUCGUAUGAAAAUCUAAUCGUUUGUGUGCUUAAUUUGAUAAAAGGACCUAAUCACGUAAAAUGUAAAAGUGGUCUUCUAUUUGUUAAAGUGCUUAAUUGUUAUGUCUUUUUAAAUGAGAGGUCCUUAUGUUGCAAUUAGACCAUUGAAAGGGUUAAUGGACAUUAAUGACCAUUUAUUAUGUGUUAUUUAUAUUAUUUAAUAAAGGUUAAAUUUGUAAAUAUGUAAAUAAACUUAUUAUAAUAAAACAAAACAUGUUAAUUGAUGAUUUAUUCACCCAUGUUUCCUGAAAUUAUCAAAGAAUAAGAAGAAAUAAAAGCUUUUAGGGUUCGGAUAAGAAAUUUGAUGAUUAAGGUACGUGUUUUGAUCCAUUUUUGAUGAUUUCUACGUUUUUGUGAUUGUUGCUUAGUAAUCUAUCAAGCCCAUGUCUCAAUUUCUAAAAUUGUUGAUGAUUUUGAGUUGAGCCAUUAAUGAAACUAUGAGUUUUAUGAAGUUUGAUAAUAGUUUAUGAAAGCUUGAUGUGGGGUUAACAUGUUUUGUCUUUGAAUUUUUUAUAAAUUUGAGUAAUUUGGGCUAAAUUGAGAAAAUGAGAAAUUAAGGGACUAAAUUUUGAAAUAAAUGAAAUGUGUGGGCUUGUAUGAGCUAAGAGAAUAUUCGACCUAACAUAUGUAAAAGGGAAUUUUGUGUAUUUUUUAAUUUUAUGAAUUAGGGACUAAAGUGUUAAAAUGUAAAAAUGUGAGGGCUAAUUUGUAAAAUACCUUAAUUAUGUGUAUAUGGAUUGAAUUGAAUGAUUUGUUGAAUAAAAGAGUUAAAUUUUAAUUUACAUAGAUCAAAACAAAAGAAAACGGAAUUAGAUCGGGGGAAAUCGAAAGUCGUCGAGUAGUCGACUCUGUUCGUUCGAAUCCGUACGAGGUAAGUCAAUAUACAAAUAAUCGUGUUUGAGUUGAUUUAUUUAUAUUCAUAUGACAUUGAAUUGUGAUGAAUGGCUGUAUGAGAGCCCAUUAUGUGAUGUCUGAAAAAGUUUCGAUAAUGUAACGGCGUCCGAAAAGCCCCGUACGAACCAUAGGAAUAGUUAGGAUACAUAUGUCAUGAGAUAGGAUCUGAUAUGUGUUUUCGUGUAAGACCACGUCUGGGAUGUUGGCAUCGACUUAUGUUUUAUGUGUAAGACCAUGUCUGGGAUAUUGGCAUCAUAUUUGAUUUCGUGUAAGACCCUGUCUAGGACAGUGACAUUGAUAUUUGAUUACAUUUAAGACCACGUCUGGGAUGUUGGCAUUGUACGAGCUUUUCGAGCUAUCUGAGUAUCCUUAUUGAUUCCAAACGGUUCAACGGGAAUUCCAAGAAAUGAGUAAUUAUGUGGUUGUGUAUCGACUCAGGUACGUUUGAAAUGUAUAUCAUGAUUAAGAAUAAAAGGUAAGUAUUUGAACAUAUGUGGACAUAUGAAAUAUGUAUGAGCUAUAUGAGAUUUAUAGAUAUGUGGUUAUGCUUUGCCAUGAUCUAUAUGAUUGAAUUGAAUUUAAAUUAUGUUAUGUGAUAAGUUUAUUUGUAUAUGGCUUACUAAGCUUUUGAAAGCUUACUUUGUGUGUUUUCAAUCAUUUUAUAGAUACCGUAGCUAUCGGGAGCUCGGGGAUCGUCGAGGAUCAUCACCACACUAUCGAACUCUAUUUUGGUACCUUUUGAAAAUGUAUAUAUUGAAGUAUGGCAUGUAUCGGCUAGAAGUUUGUGAAUAUGUUUGGUAAUGUGUAUAUCUAGCCAGGUGAUAUGGCUUGGUUUUGGUUAUAAUUAUGAAUGUCUUUCGAGCAUAAACUAUGUGAUGCAAUAAUGUUCAUAUGAUGCGUUCAUGAAUGACCUAGUGAUAAAUGAUCAAUUUGGUAAGUUGGUAAUGUGAUUUAGAUGUGG